CACGUAGGGCGCAAGCGUUGUCCGGAAUUAUUGGGCGUAAAGAGCUCGUAGGCGGUCUGUUGCGUCCGCUGUGAAAACUCGGGGCUUAACCCCGAGCCUGCAGUGGAUACGGGCAGACUAGAGGUAGGUAGGGGAGAAUGGAAUUCCCGGUGUAGCGGUGAAAUGCGCAGAUAUCGGGAGGAACACCGGUGGCGAAGGCGGCUAUCUGGACCGACAUUGACGCUGAGGCGCGAAAGCGUGGGGAGCAAACAGG
RNAcentral lists this ribosomal RNA (253 nucleotides) under uncultured bacterium. RNAcentral describes it as "partial 16S ribosomal RNA". It matches the Rfam family "Bacterial small subunit ribosomal RNA", at positions 524 to 776 of the family's 1533-position model. The record is from RNAcentral.